This 235-nucleotide unclassified non-coding RNA is filed under the name Hevea brasiliensis (rubber tree). Lineage: Eukaryota; Viridiplantae; Streptophyta; Magnoliopsida; Malpighiales; Euphorbiaceae. The record is from RNAcentral.
GCUUGCCUGGGCUAGGAAUUGGUAGUUAUGUGCUGGUGUUUUAUCAUAUUUAGUUUAAGAUGUUGUGCGGACAGCAUCUAGUUGAAUUUGACUACACAUUUCUGAUGUUAAUUAUGGCCAAAAUUGAUGAAACUCUAGCACUUUUUUUAAACAGGUUAUUGGAGGUACUUAUUGCCAAUGGAUACACUAGAAACUUAGCAUUUUUAAUGUAUUGGCUGAUAUUGGUUUUUGCCUG